GGUAAUUCUAGAGCUAAUACAUGCUAAAAACCUCGACUUCGGAAGGGGUGUAUUUAUUAGAUAAAAAACCAAUGCCCUUCGGGGCUCCUUGGUGAAUCAUAAUAACUUAACGAAUCGCAUGGCCUUGCGCCGGCGAUGGUUCAUUCAAAUUUCUGCCCUAUCAACUUUCGAUGGUAAGAUAGAGGCUUACCAUGGUCUUAACGGGUAACGGGGAAUUAGGGUUCUAUUCCGGAGAGGGAGCCUGAGAAACGGCUACCACAUCCAAGGAAGGCAGCAGGCGCGCAAAUUACCCAAUCCCGACACGGGGAGGUAGUGACAAUAAAUACUGAUACGGGGCUCUUUUGGGUCUCGUAAUUGGAAUGAGUACAAUCUAAAUCCCUUAACGAGGAACAAUUGGAGGGCAAGUCUGGUGCCAGCAGCCGCGGUAAUUCCAGCUCCAAUAGCGUAUAUUAAAGUUGUUGCCGUUAAAAAGCUCGUAGUUGAACCUUGGGCCUGGCUGACCUGUCCUCCUAAUCGAGCGCACGGGUUCGGUCGGGCCUUUCCUUCUAGGGAACCCCAUGCCCUUCACUGGGUGUGGUGGGGAACUAGGACUUUUACCUUGAAAAAAUUAGAGUGUUCAAAGCAGGCCUUUGCUCGAAUACAUUAGCAUGGAAUAAUAGAAUAGGACAUCGGUUCUAUUUUGUUGGUUUCUAG
RNAcentral lists this ribosomal RNA (693 nucleotides) under Chaetothyriales sp. Its description in RNAcentral is "SSU rRNA". It matches the Rfam family "Eukaryotic small subunit ribosomal RNA", at positions 151 to 854 of the family's 1831-position model. Lineage: Eukaryota; Fungi; Ascomycota; Eurotiomycetes; Chaetothyriales. The record is from RNAcentral.